This 393-nucleotide ribosomal RNA is filed under the name Triticum aestivum (bread wheat). RNAcentral's name for it is "partial small subunit ribosomal RNA". The record is from RNAcentral. Lineage: Eukaryota; Viridiplantae; Streptophyta; Magnoliopsida; Poales; Poaceae.
AUGACCCACAAAGCUGAUGCCCCAUUCUUGAAUACCUCAAUGGAAUACUAUCAUGUCAUGUCUUCCAUUUAUGGGACAACCGGGGCUAAGGGGCUGAAUGCUAGGUCUGGUAAUGAUCUUCUUUCUAUUAAUCACGAAGGCGAGGAGAAUGGUGAGGUUAACACAUCACCAAAUGUUGUUGAGUCUUCUCACCCCAAAGCACCACCCAAAAAGAAGGCCAAGGUAAAGCGCGUUGUUGAUGAUCCACUAGUUAUCACUCUCAAAGAUGGGUUCAAACUUGUGGCUGGAGCGCUUGUGAAGUCUAGUGGAGAUGAUGAUGAUGAUAUACCCGAUGACCUUUGGGAUGAAGUCUCCACAUUGCCAGAUUUUGAUGAAGAGCACCUAGCCCACUAG